CCUACGGGGGGCAGCAGUGGGGAAUAUUGGACAAUGGGCGAAAGCCUGAUCCAGCCAUGCCGCGUGUGUGAAGAAGGCCUUCGUGUUGUAAAGCACUUUCAGUGGGGAAGAAAGCCUUGGGGCUAAUACCCUCGAGGAAGGACAUCACCCACAGAAGAAGCACCGGCUAACUCCGUGCCAGCAGCCGCGGUAAUACGGAGGGUGCGAGCGUUAAUCGGAAUUACUGGGCGUAAAGCGCGCGUAGGCGGUCUGAUAAGCCGGUUGUGAAAGCCCCGGGCUCAACCUGGGAACGGCAUCCGGAACUGUCAGGCUAGAGUGCAGGAGAGGAAGGUAGAAUUCCCGGUGUAGCGGUGAAAUGCGUAGAGAUCGGGAGGAAUACCAGUGGCGAAGGCGGCCUUCUGGACUGACACUGACGCUGAGGUGCGAAAGCGUGGGUAGCAAACAGGAUUAGAUACCCUGGUAGUC
This 465-nucleotide ribosomal RNA is filed under the name Vreelandella stevensii. RNAcentral's name for it is "partial 16S ribosomal RNA". It matches the Rfam family "Bacterial small subunit ribosomal RNA", at positions 338 to 795 of the family's 1533-position model. The record is from RNAcentral. Lineage: Bacteria; Pseudomonadati; Pseudomonadota; Gammaproteobacteria; Oceanospirillales; Halomonadaceae.